Molecule: transfer RNA, 82 nt
Filed under: Ignavibacteria bacterium
Lineage: Bacteria; Pseudomonadati; Ignavibacteriota; Ignavibacteria
Also listed under: 2 other names
Description: tRNA-Leu
Rfam family: tRNA
About the family: Transfer RNA (tRNA) molecules are approximately 80 nucleotides in length. Their secondary structure includes four short double-helical elements and three loops (D, anti-codon, and T loops). Further hydrogen bonds mediate the characteristic L-shaped molecular structure. tRNAs have two regions of fundamental functional importance: the anti-codon, which is responsible for specific mRNA codon recognition, and the 3' end, to which the tRNAs corresponding amino acid is attached (by aminoacyl-tRNA synthetases). tRNAs cope with the degeneracy of the genetic code in two manners: having more than one tRNA (with a specific anti-codon) for a particular amino acid; and 'wobble' base-pairing, i.e. permitting non-standard base-pairing at the 3rd anti-codon position.
Source: RNAcentral
GCGGGCGUGGCGAAAUUGGCAGACGCGCCAGACUUAGGAUCUGGUGGGGUAACCCGUAGGAGUUCAAGUCUCCUCGCCCGCA